RNAcentral lists this ribosomal RNA (460 nucleotides) under uncultured bacterium. RNAcentral describes it as "partial 16S ribosomal RNA". It matches the Rfam family "Bacterial small subunit ribosomal RNA", at positions 338 to 795 of the family's 1533-position model. The record is from RNAcentral.
CCUACGGGAGGCAGCAGUGAGGAAUAUUGGUCAAUGGACGAGAGUCUGAACCAGCCAAGUAGCGUGAAGGAUGACUGCCCUAUGGGUUGUAAACUUCUUUUAUAUGGGAAUAAAAUGUUCCACGUGUGGGAUUUUGUAUGUACCAUAUGAAUAAGGUUCGGCUAACUCCGUGCCAGCAGCCGCGGUAAUACGGAGGAUCCGAGCGUUAUCCGGAUUUAUUGGGUUUAAAGGGAGCGUAGGUGGAUUGUUAAGUUAGUUGUGAAAGUUUGCGGCUCAACCGUAAAAUUGCAGUUGAAACUGGCAGUCUUGAGUACAGUAGAGGUGGGGGGAAUUCGUGGGGUAGCAGUGAAAUGCUUAGAUAUGACGAAGAACUCCGAUUGCGAAGGCAGCUCACUGGACUGCAACUGACACUGAGGCUCGAAAGUGUGGGGAUCAAACAGGAUUAGAUACCCCUGUAGUC